RNAcentral lists this long non-coding RNA (506 nucleotides) under Nicotiana tabacum (common tobacco). RNAcentral describes it as "long non-coding RNA (NTAB_LNC011388)". Lineage: Eukaryota; Viridiplantae; Streptophyta; Magnoliopsida; Solanales; Solanaceae. The record is from RNAcentral.
UCCCUAUUCACCUUUUUGCCAACAUUAGGGCUCCAAUCCCUGAGUUGAGCCGUUUUAGACAUAGGGCCUUCAUUCCCUAGUCGCCAUUUUGCCAAUAUUAGGGCUCCAAUCCCUGACUUGAGCCUUUUAGUCAUAGGGCCUCCAUUCCUUAGUCGUCUUUUUGCCAACAUUAGGGCUCCAAUCUCUGAGUUGAGCCUUUUUAGACAAAGGGUCUCCAUUCCCUAGUCGCCUUUUUGCCAUCAUUAGGGUUCUAAUCCCUGAGUUGAGCCUUUUAGAAAUAGGACCUCCAUUCCCUGGUCGCCUUUUUUGCCAUUAUUGGGGCUCCAAUCCCUAAGUUAAGCCUUUAGACAUAGGGCCUCCAUUCCUUAGUCGCCUAUUUUGCCAACAUUAGGGUUCCAAUCCCUGAGUUGAGCCCUUUUAGACAUAGGGCCUCCAUUCCCUAGUCGCCUUUUUGCCAUCAUUAAGGCUCCAAUCCCUGAGUAGAGCCUUUUAGACAUAGGGCCUCC